Molecule: transfer RNA, 72 nt
Filed under: Syntrophaceae bacterium
Lineage: Bacteria; Pseudomonadati; Thermodesulfobacteriota; Syntrophia; Syntrophales; Syntrophaceae
Description: tRNA-Thr
Rfam family: tRNA
About the family: Transfer RNA (tRNA) molecules are approximately 80 nucleotides in length. Their secondary structure includes four short double-helical elements and three loops (D, anti-codon, and T loops).
Source: RNAcentral
GCCCCAGUGGCCAAGUGGUAAGGCGUUCGAUUUGUAAUCGAAAAAUCGUUGGUUCAAAUCCAACCUGGGGCU